This 64-nucleotide transfer RNA is filed under the name Tenebrionoidea sp. 21 KM-2017. RNAcentral's name for it is "tRNA-Leu". The record is from RNAcentral. Lineage: Eukaryota; Metazoa; Arthropoda; Insecta; Coleoptera.
UCUAAUGUGGCAGACUAGUGCAAUGGAUUUAAGCCCCAUUUAUAAAGUUUACCUUUUUUUAGAA